AUCCAGCAGAGGAGUCUUAAAUGGGACGAAACGCGCGUCCUAGAU
This 45-nucleotide non-coding RNA is filed under the name Schistosoma curassoni. Lineage: Eukaryota; Metazoa; Platyhelminthes; Trematoda; Strigeidida; Schistosomatidae. The record is from RNAcentral.